CCUGGAACUCACUCUGUAAACCAGGCUGGCCUUGAAUUUACAGAGAUCUGCCUGCCUCUGCUCCUGAGUGCUGGGAU
RNAcentral lists this microRNA precursor (77 nucleotides) under Microtus ochrogaster (prairie vole). RNAcentral describes it as "miRNA (ENSMOCG00000004845.1)". Lineage: Eukaryota; Metazoa; Chordata; Mammalia; Rodentia; Cricetidae. The record is from RNAcentral.